Molecule: ribosomal RNA, 245 nt
Filed under: uncultured bacterium
Lineage: Bacteria
Description: partial 16S ribosomal RNA
Rfam family: Bacterial small subunit ribosomal RNA
Source: RNAcentral
UAGUCCACGCUGUAAACGAUGAGUGCAAGGUGUUGGGGGUCAAACCUCGGUGCCGCCGUUAACACAGUAAGCACUCCGCCUGGGGAGUACGUACGCAAGUAUGAAACUCAAAGGAAUUGACGGGGACCCGCACAAGUAGCGGAGCAUGUGGUUUAAUUCGAUGCAACGCGAAAAACCUUACCAGGGCUUGACAUAAAAGUGACGAGGGAUAGAGAUAUUCCUCUUCUCUUCGGAGACAGUUUUAC